ACAAACAUGAAUAUUUUAAUCCUUUAAGGCUGCAAGCAUGCCACUCAAAGAUAAGGGAGGUGAACCAAGAAAAAGGAAAAAUAUUUUGUUAUAUUUUUCAAAAGAUCAACCACCAAAGAAAAAUUAUUCAUCUGAGACAGAACAGACAGACUAGCAGAGGUUGAGAGGUUAGUGUUGUGGGCAAAAUCAUUCACAAUACUAUGACAUUUCUUAGACAAAUGUCAUUCUAAUCGGCAUGUAGACAACUUUUCGUUUCUUUUCUUUUUCUAUCUGAAGAGCGGCAGCAGUGGCGCAAACGCAUGCCUUCGGACAAUGUAGUUCACUAAUCAUAAAUUCCCACACUGCUUCACGGCUGCCGGCCUCCAUUUCCCAUCGUCUCUCGGGGCUGCUGCCCUCCGCAGUGUUGUUUUCCUGCUCAGACGCGGCUAGUUCAAGUUGCCAUAGCACGGUGAAGCUGAGGGUUCUUCUGUUAGUCAUCACUCGGGGGACGUAAAAGUACCGUCUCUCUUUUAACGUACUCCUAACGACGGCGUAUUUUCCCUCAGUUUUUGUUUUGUAGUUUUUAUAGUUUUGUCACCGGGUUAAAUUAGUUGGCUAACGUUUGGUUAGCUAGCUAGCUAACGUUCAGAGUAGUGCCCACUUGUUGCUAACCAGGAGGAGCAUCAAUCAAAACAAUGCCCCGGACGGUGAUCUGGGAAGGGGGCAGUUUGAGUUGUCGUGAGUUGCUUGUCGGAUAGGUUUUUGUCUUAACGGUUUAUUAAAUUAACUAUGUUAAAGCUCCCGUUUCUGUUUGCUAUGACAGAAUCAUCCCGUGGAACAAAACUUAAAAACAAUCCCACUUUGUUCGUUAAUCAGAUUACAGUUGUCAGUUAGCGUCUUCCGCCGGCGAAACUAGUGCUGGUCACUAAUCGUCAUAUUUGCCUUGUCAGUCGUUUUUUUUUGUUUGUUUGGCUCAAAAUAUGGAUACAUCCAGCGGGUCAGAUUCAUACGACAGGAUGCGGGGACACAGGCCGCGGGGACGAGAAACCCACCGCAAAUGUGGCCGGGAUAGAGGCAGAACCGGUGGGAGUGGAGGCGAUGGGCCACCCGCAGACAUCUCCGAGAAAAUCAGCACCCUGGCAAACACCUUACAGGACACCAGUAGAAACUUGACCAAAGUAGAUAGAAUGCUGGGUCAAUACAGGGAGCAUACAGAUGAUCAGGCCGAAGCCAUGGCUCUGCUUAGAGAGAACCUGGAGGAGUCAAUCAGUCAGUUGCAGGCUCAGAGGCUGAGCAGACCCAAUGGGACUCGGAGUGCUUCAGCCUCGGCCUCUACUCUGCACACCAGUGACCUGGACGCCUGCUCAGAAUCAGAAGGCCAGCGCUUCUACCCUACUUCUCCGCUGAAGGACUAUACAAGCACCCCAGGAAGGAGGAGGAGGUCUCACUCUGCCAGUGUUCGCUUCAAGGAGAGCAGCCUGGCAGGAGAAGAUAUUCACACGAUGCACCAAUCCCUGCGGGAUCUGCGCUGCAACCAACAGAGACUGUCUGAUGACCUGGAUAGAGAAAUCCUCAGGAGAAACAGGUCUGAUAUUGACACCAGGCGGGCGAUGGAGAGCCUCACAGAGCACAUGACAGCUUCCCAGAGACAGGACUCAGUGUCGUCUCGUGUGGAGCGGCGGCUGCAGGAGCUACAGAGAGAAAUCCACAACGAGCAGAGGAGCGUGGAGAGGGAGAGAAGGCCGGAGCAGCGGGUUGCCAUGUCUGAUGAGCUGCAGGAGAAUUUAGGAAGACGCCAAGUUCAAUCCCAUGAGAGAGACGAGGCCAUGACAGCCAGGCUUCUCAAAGCAGAGAGGGAGAAAUCCAAGAUGGAGCAGGAGCUAGACAGAGCCAGAAGAUUACUGGAACAGUCAGAGGAUAGCAGGGAGUCCCUCGUACAAGAGGUGGAGGACAUGCGCUGUGAGCUGCUGAGGACAAAGAAGGAGAACACAGGGCUUCAGAGGGCACGGCUGGAGACUUCUCAGCCCAGUGCUCAGCCACAUGGCAACCACACUGACAGGGAGGGGGGAAGAGCUGGAUUGCAAGAUCGUUCAGACCUGGAAAAAGAAGUGGCAGAGCUGCGAGUUCAAUUGUGCAAAGUGUCCGUCCAGAGUGAGGUUGAGGAGCUGAAGAGGGCUCUGAACCGGAAGGAGAAGGAGAGGGUUGAACUCAGCUUGCAGGUGAAGGAAUUAUCAUCAGACCUGACGGCUCGGGAGCAACAGCAGCUACGAAUGCUGGAAAAGCUGAGGGACAUACAGAGCCGCGGACCAGCUGAGAGGAGGGAGAUGGAGGCAUUACUGCAGGAGAGCACAAGGAGCAGAGAUGAAUUGAAGACCAGGGCCCAAGAGGCUGUUCGCCAGUGGAGGGCAAAGUGCAGGAGAUUGCAGAAGGGGCUGGACGAGGCUCAGGCUCAGGUUCAAUUUCACACCGACAAGGCCUCACAGGCAGCCAGGGAAAAGGGAAGCUCUCAGGCCCAGCUGAAGGCGCUGAGCCAGCAGACUGAGGCAGCCCGCAGGGAGCUCGCUGAAAUCCUAGGCCGGUUGGCCCAGCGCGAGGAAGAGCUCCACCGCAAGGACGUGGAGCUGUCGGAGAAUCACCAGCGCCAGUUGUCACUGCAGCAGGAAAUCCGGGAGGUGAGAGAGGCCUCAGCUACCCUGGAGGAGGAGGCUCAGCGUCAGGCUGCCAUCCUAGCAAGACUGAGAGAAGAGAACCAGAGGCUGCAAGAACGAGCUGACACUCAAGCCCGUCGCUGUCAGAGGGACCAGGAUGCUCAGGCCGAGCUCCAGGCAGCCCUGAAGCAGAUGACCACAGCCCAUGCUCAGCUCGCCCAGCGGCUGGCUGAGGAGGAGAGUUCCAGGAAGGAGCUCCAGAAGGGCACCUCAGAACUUCAGGUCAAGCUGACAGCGCUGCAGGAGGAGCGAGACGCCCUGAGCCAGCAGCUGCAGCUUGAGAGAGAGGUGCAUCAGAAGGAACUAGACAACACGAAGGCCAUGGUGGAGGACAGCAGGAUAAAAAAGGAUCGGGAGGUGCAAGACAUGCUGGGGCUCUGCCGCCAGGAGCGAGAGGAAAUACAGUCACACCUGAGGGAGGUCAAGGCAGAUGCAGCAUCAGACAAGGAGCUGUGUGGGGCGCUGCACAUCAAGUUGGACAGGAUGAAGGAUGAGUGUGAUAAGCUGGCAGCACAGCUGAGCACAAAAGACGAGGCACAUGCACUUCUUCACCGAAAAUACCAGCUACUUAAACAGGAGGUGGAGGACAAAGUCAGGUCAGGUGAACGGAGACGUGCCUCCGAGUCAGAAUUUGUUAAGCUGGAGCAGAAAGUGCUGCAAAUGGAAGCAGAGCAGGAGGCCGUUUUAACCUCUAUGGGCGAGGAACUAGACGCUGCCUGUCGUAGUCUGGCGAGGAACGGUGAAGACAAACUGCAGGCGAUCUCCCAAAGACCCGGCUUAGUGAAAGACCCCCAUCGCUGGCUAGCUGAGACCAAGACAAAGCUGCGUUGGCUGUGUGAAGAGGUUCGGGAGCGUGACACAAGAGAACAGCGCCUGAGGAGGCAGCAUCAACAGACCCGGGAUCAGUUGAAAGCCCUCAGGCAGAGCCGGGACUCGGAGCAGGCGACGCUCCUGCAGCGUCUGGACCAACAGGAGAAGCUCAUGCACUCGCUCAGCACUGAAAAGAAAGAGCUGCUGGAGAGGAGUCGGAGGAAGGAGGACGAAAUGAGAAGCCUUCAGGAUCGUGUAUUGGAUCUGGAGAUGAACACAAGAGUAGCUCUGGACCACUUGGAGUCGAUUCCAGAGAAACCAUGUUUGAUGGAGAACUUCAAAGAUCUGGAGGAGUCGCAGCAGCAGAGGGAGUUGGUAGAACAGCGCUACACUAAAUACAAAGAGAUCGUCUGGGACCUGCAGCACCAGCUGGACGAGUCCAAACGCAGAAUCCAAGAGUACAGGGAUGAGAAGUUGGACGCCACUUCCAGGAGCCUCAGACUCGCUGCACUUUCUUCCUCCAUCAAAGACUCCAACACUUUCCUGAGCAGCUCGCUGAGAUCUGACACACUAUCACCUCACAAACGCCUGACCAGCUCAGACCUGGACGCUUCUGAAGGCAAUAAGGCCAAACAUCUGACAGAUUAAAGGAAACCUUUAUCUGUAUCUCUACAAACUGUGACUCUACCUGCCUGGUGCUCCACCGUAGUAGGAGGCCUCACACUCCACACUAAUCCUCCUCGACUCCCUCAACCAGGAAGUCACUGAAGGCGCUCAGGAGCAGGAGGGUUUCCCAGAGACUAUGGGUUGAGGAGGAAUUGGAAGUUUGUCGGCUUAGACCUGGUGUCAUUCCAUCAGUGUUAAACUUCCCGGCUCAUCUUGGAAGAGUACGUGCCAGAAAGACCACGACCAAGCAGCCUUGAGAUCUUAGGCAGCGUCUCCCUCAGGUCCCUCUCUAUCUCCCCACACAUCCACCAACCACUGGAACACAUCUCCAAAGUUCUGCUGGACCAGCUCAGCUUCCCCUCAGAAGAAGUGGCGCCACCUGCCAGAUGAAGGAGCCUUUUGAGAGACAGCUGGCAUCGUGAUUGGACUGUACUUUGGUCUGUUCCAAUCCAGCUUCAGCUCCAGAGACGGCAGGCGGGACGAGUCAACGGAGGCCGGAUGGACGAAGUCAUGAAGCUGAGUACAAUCCAGAAAACAACAGAGGAGGAAUGCAGGGUCCAGGGCCAGAACAACCAGAGUAGCAUUGUAUGUCUCUGAGAAAACAUCAUAGUAUAGCCUUUGGUAUGAAAAAACACCAUCAUAUACAUCGUAUAUUGUACAAAUAACAAGUCAAAGCAAAGAGACAUACAUUGUCGAAUUGUAGUAAUUGUGGGCUGACUGAUUUACUGAUUAUCAGUAUUUUAUUUUUUACUGAUUUACGGUAAUAAAUACAUUUAAAAAUGGUGCUACUUUGGCUCUGAACCUUUAUCUACCUGUGGUCGCUCUGUCUUCUGGAGUGAUUUGAUUGGUUAUACGUCACGAAUAAAACUCCUAUAACUUAACAUCUGUAAACAAAACAAAAACGUAUCAACAAAGUUUUCUGUUAGAGUUUGUGUUCUUCUAAGUUUAACUCCAAGAUUUUAAAUACUUUCAUUUACUGCAAAUGAAUAUCUACUCCAAAUGUCUCACUAAUAAUCAUUAUCAGCCUUAAAAACCCACAAAACACCCCUCUAUACUCGACCACACUUAGUACAGUCCGGUUCCCCCUUCUAUAAAUCAGCUUGGAAUCUUCCACUUCCUGUUUGUCAAAGUGGCCUUCUACCUGGACAGGUUUUGUUGGAGCUCAUGCAACAAACAUUUUGGGUAACUGCACUUUAAUAUGGAUGGAUGACACUGAAUUAGAGUCUGUUUUAAUGAGACUGAGUUAAGAUGUGUAGCUCUGUCAUUAAAUAGGAAAUUAUUUCCAGAAUUCACAGAGAAAAAUCUGAAAUGUUUGCUAGGUUAGCGUCCCACAUGUUCUUUGGCUCAGCUAAAGCUAACUCUCUCCAACUUCUGGAUCUCUUGAGUUGCUUGUUGUUAAAAUAUCUUGCUAGAGGUGCUGAAGCUCAGAAAGUCUGAGAUGUUUGUUCAAAAUAAGCUCAUUCUCAAGUCUUAUCUGAACUGUCCUCUUUUGUUUGAACUUUCCCUAAACUUAGGAGUUAAUGACAGAGCAGCACAUCCAGACUCAGUCUCAUUUAUGUAGAGAUUAAACUUCAGUGUCAUUCAUUGAUGUUAAAGUGCAGUUUUUCAAAUGUUUGUUGCAUAUGCUCCCGACCAAACCAGUCCAGGUGGAAGACGAUGUGAAGAGAAAGCUCCAGAGGAUGAAUAUCACACAUUUACAUUGGAAAUUAAUGUCCUUUAAUUAGACAUUGUCAUGCAAAAGUUGGAUUUCCCUUUAAUGAUGUUCAAAUCUUUGUUGAAUGCUUUGUUGAUGUUGGUUUCUAAAUGUUUUUUGACACUCGGCCCCAAAGAUUAAAACCUUCUACGGCUCACAAGCUGCAACAAUUCACACAUUAUCAACUGUCUUUCUGACUAAACUAAGAUAAAAAGUGAAAAACUGCCUGAUUCCUACAUCAUGAAUGUAAAUCUUUUUGGUUUUUAUGACAGUAAACUCAGUAUAUUUGGGCUUGACAUUUUAUAAACCAAAACAAGAAAUGAAUUACUGGAGAAAACAAUCAACAGAUUAAUGGACAAAGAAAAUGUGUUUUCCAACAUAUAUGGCUGAAUUACUCCAACAUCACAAGAUACAUACAAUUUAAAUUCUAUUUUAUUUAUAUAAUGCCAGUUACAGGUCAAAUUGUCUCAAGACGCUUUAUUUUUAUAUUUUUUUGUCAUACUGAAAAUAUGACAAAGUAAGAAAUUUAAAGCUCUUGACUAACCCAAUUUAUUAUUUGGUUUUUAAGAGAUUAAUCAACAAUUAAAAUAACUUUCUCCACUAAAACUAAUAAACAUGAGGUCAAAUAGAAGGAACAGUUUUAAAUACUGCAGUCCCACGACGACAAGAAUAAAGUUUGUCAACAAAAACUAAAUCUGCUGGUGGAUUCCAUUAAAGUCCUAAUAAAUGAUAAUAAAGUGUGAUACUAAAGGUUUGUGGUGCUAAAAAUGUCAAAGUAAAGAUAUCAAGUUGAACAUCUGGAUGGAGGUUGAUAAAAGUUGACCUCCCUUCAUUUCUCUGGAGCGACUCCAUGGAUUUUAUGGAUGGUGGUUAAAGACCUGCUCUUCUAGUCUUCUUCCUUCUAGUCGCUGUAAAAAGUCAGUCCAUCCUGGCCGACUUCAACACCUCUUCAUGACAACUUGUUCUGCCUCCGACCUGGUGGAAACUCCAGAAACUCGGGAAAACCUGUGGAGACUCGAAGAACUCGUGGAGACUCGAA
RNA transcript from Amphiprion ocellaris (clown anemonefish), 6895 nucleotides. It is a transcript of the gene named centrosomal protein of 128 kDa, with no coding region annotated. Lineage: Eukaryota; Metazoa; Chordata; Actinopteri; Pomacentridae. The record is from RefSeq and is a predicted model, not a curated record. The transcript is spliced from 27 exons.